AGAGUUUGAUCCUGGCUCAGGACGAACGCUGGCGGCGUGCUUAACACAUGCAAGUCGAACGAGAAUCUACUGAAAGAGUUUUCGGACAAUGGAUGUAGAGGAAAGUGGCGGACGGGUGAGUAACGCGUGAGGAACCUGCCUUGAAGAGGGGGACAACAGUUGGAAACGACUGCUAAUACCGCAUGACGCAUAGGGGUCGCAUGAUCUUUAUGCCAAAGAUUUAUCGCUUCAAGAUGGCCUCGCGUCUGAUUAGCUGGUUGGCGGGGUAACGGCCCACCAAGGCGACGAUCAGUAGCCGGACUGAGAGGUUGAACGGCCACAUUGGGACUGAGAUACGGCCCAGACUCCUACGGGAGGCAGCAGUGGGGAAUAUUGGGCGAUGGGCGCAAGCCUGACCCAGCAACGCCGCGUGAAGGAAGAAGGCUUUCGGGUUGUAAACUUCUUUUAAGAGGGAAGAGGAGAAGACGGUACCUCUAGAAUAAGCCACGGCUAACUACGUGCCAGCAGCCGCGGUAAUACGUAGGUGGCAAGCGUUGUCCGGAUUUACUGGGUGUAAAGGGCGUGCAGCCGGGUCUGCAAGUCAGAUGUGAAAUCCAUGGGCUCAACCCAUGAACUGCAUUUGAAACUGUAGAUCUUGAGUGUCGGAGGGGCAAUCGGAAUUCCUAGUGUAGCGGUGAAAUGCGUAGAUAUUAGGAGGAACACCAGUGGCGAAGGCGGAUUGCUGGACGAUAACUGACGGUGAGGCGCGAAAGUGUGGGGAGCAAACAGGAUUAGAUACCCUGGUAGUCCACACUGUAAACGAUGAAUACUAGGUGUGCGGGGACUGACCCCCUGCGUGCCGCAGUAAACACAAUAAGUAUUCCACCUGGGGAGUACGAUCGCAAGGUUGAAACUCAAAGG
This 900-nucleotide ribosomal RNA is filed under the name uncultured bacterium. RNAcentral's name for it is "bacterial SSU rRNA". It matches the Rfam family "Bacterial small subunit ribosomal RNA", at positions 8 to 907 of the family's 1533-position model. The record is from RNAcentral.